GCCGGCGUGUCGGAACUGGCAGACGAAGCAGACUCAAAAUCUGCCGGCCGCAAGGUCGUAUGGGUUCGAGUCCCAUCGCCGGCA
This 84-nucleotide transfer RNA is filed under the name Lachnospiraceae bacterium. RNAcentral's name for it is "tRNA-Leu". It matches the Rfam family "tRNA". From Rfam's summary of the family: Transfer RNA (tRNA) molecules are approximately 80 nucleotides in length. Their secondary structure includes four short double-helical elements and three loops (D, anti-codon, and T loops). The record is from RNAcentral. Lineage: Bacteria; Bacillati; Bacillota; Clostridia; Lachnospirales; Lachnospiraceae.